RNAcentral lists this ribosomal RNA (465 nucleotides) under Vreelandella stevensii. RNAcentral's name for it is "partial 16S ribosomal RNA". It matches the Rfam family "Bacterial small subunit ribosomal RNA", at positions 338 to 795 of the family's 1533-position model. The record is from RNAcentral. Lineage: Bacteria; Pseudomonadati; Pseudomonadota; Gammaproteobacteria; Oceanospirillales; Halomonadaceae.
CCUACGGGUGGCUGCAGUGGGGUAUAUUGGACAAUGGGGGGAACCCUGAUCCAGCCAUGCCGCGUGUGUGAAGAAGGCCCUCGGGUUGUAAAGCACUUUCAGUGAGGAAGAACGCCUGGUGGUUAAUACCCAUCAGGAAAGACAUCACUCACAGAAGAAGCACCGGCUAACUCCGUGCCAGCAGCCGCGGUAAUACGGAGGGUGCGAGCGUUAAUCGGAAUUACUGGGCGUAAAGCGCGCGUAGGUGGCUUGAUAAGCCGGUUGUGAAAGCCCCGGGCUCAACCUGGGAACGGCAUCCGGAACUGUCAAGCUAGAGUGCAGGAGAGGAAGGUAGAAUUCCCGGUGUAGCGGUGAAAUGCGUAGAGAUAGGGAGGAAUACCAGUGGCGAAGGCGGCCUUCUGGACUGACACUGACACUGAGGUGCGAAAGCGUGGGUAGCAAACAGGAUUAGAUACCCGUGUAGUC